UCGUGCUACACGGGGAGCUGGCGGUGCCCUAUACCCGCAACCCGCCACAGCGGGGUGGAAUUCCUCCCCUCGGCAAGGCGCAAGGGCCAAUUUCCCAGGGAGUGGCGUUGACGGCCGGGUCCCACGCGGCGCAGGCUCGCGAACUCCGCCAGGGCUUGACGGCAGCAACGGUAAGCGAUGUCCCGCGGGCGCCGUGGGAGUGCCCGGCCCGAGCCAGUCCCGACGAUAUGCCCCCAGGCUGUAGUCAACGGGAGGUGCUCGG
RNAcentral lists this signal recognition particle RNA (262 nucleotides) under Chloroflexota bacterium. RNAcentral describes it as "Chloroflexi bacterium signal recognition particle sRNA large type". It matches the Rfam family "Bacterial large signal recognition particle RNA". Rfam says of the family: The signal recognition particle (SRP) is a universally conserved ribonucleoprotein involved in the co-translational targeting of proteins to membranes. Archaeal SRP consists of a 7S RNA and homologues of the eukaryotic SRP19 and SRP54 proteins. In most bacteria, the SRP consists of a 4.5S RNA and the Ffh protein (a homologue of the eukaryotic SRP54 protein). The record is from RNAcentral. Lineage: Bacteria; Bacillati; Chloroflexota.